RNAcentral lists this small RNA (1136 nucleotides) under Pongo abelii (Sumatran orangutan). RNAcentral describes it as "retained intron". Lineage: Eukaryota; Metazoa; Chordata; Mammalia; Primates; Hominidae. The record is from RNAcentral.
CAGAAACAUCGAAUGAAUGCUGAAAUUCCUAGUCUGGUUUCUUCAGUGGUGUGUUUGUGUUUUAGUACAACCUGCAAAAGAGUUACUCCAUUGUCUAAAAAUGCAAAUGAGAAUUUCCAAAUAUACAAAAUGCCUCCAAGCUCAAAUAGCUAUAACUGUACCAAAGACAUGGAAGAAACCAAAAGAUCGGACCCGAACCACUGAAGAGAUGUUAGAGGCAGAAUUGGAGCCUAAAGCUGAAGAGGAGCUUUCCGUUGACAAAGUACUUGAAUCUGAACAAGAUAAAAUGAGCCAGGGGUUUCAUCCCGAAAGAGACCCCUCUGACCUAAAAAAAGUGAAAGCCGUGGAAGAAAAUGGAGAAGAAGCUGAGCCAGUACGUAAUGGUGCUGAGAGUGCUUCUGAGGGUGAAGGAAUAGAUGCUAAUUCAGGCUCCACCGAUAGUUCUGGUGAUGGGGUUACAUUUCCAUUUAAACCAGAAUCCUGGAAGCCUACUGAUACUGAAGGUAAGAAGCAGUAUGACAGGGAGUUUCUGCUGGACUUCCAGUUCAUGCCUGCCUGUAUACAAAAACCAGAGGGCCUGCCUCCUAUCAGUGAUGUGGUUCUUGACAAGAUCAACCAACCCAAAUUGCCAAUGCGAACUCUGGAUCCUCGAAUUUUGCCUCGAGGACCAGACUUUACACCAGCCUUUGCUGAUUUUGGAAGGCAGACACCUGGUGGAAGAGGCGUACCUGUAAGUGCAAGUUCCCCACAACUCACUUAGUUAGACACUGGCACAGACUCCAUGAAAUCCUACCUCACGGCAAGACAGCAGCUUUUAUUCGUUGAUUCUAGUCAAGAAGAAGAAGAAGAGGCAAAGACUAUCCUUUCCAUACUCAUAUUAAAGCAGAUAAAGAAUACACUUGAGUUGUUUUUACUUGGCAGAAGCUAGUCUGCAUUAAUUUGGUCGUGAUUUUUUUUUUCCCUAUUUUUUCAAUUGAGGUGACCUACAAAUAGGUUUAAAAAUGGUGCCAACCACGGCCAGGGAUGGUGGCUCAGGUCUGUAAUGCUAGCACUUUGUGGGGUCAAGGCAGGAGGAUCACUUGAGGUCAGGAGUUCAAGACCAGCCUGGCAACAAAGAGAGACCUUGUCUCUACCAC